GUCAGGAUGGCCGAGUGGUCUAAGGCGGUAGACUUAGCAUCUAUUCCUCGUUAAAGGGGGCGUGGGUUCAAAUCCCACUCCUGACA
Molecule: transfer RNA, 86 nt
Filed under: Turnera subulata
Lineage: Eukaryota; Viridiplantae; Streptophyta; Magnoliopsida; Malpighiales; Passifloraceae
Rfam family: tRNA
About the family: Transfer RNA (tRNA) molecules are approximately 80 nucleotides in length. Their secondary structure includes four short double-helical elements and three loops (D, anti-codon, and T loops).
Source: Rfam by way of RNAcentral